Molecule: ribosomal RNA, 253 nt
Filed under: uncultured bacterium
Lineage: Bacteria
Description: partial 16S ribosomal RNA
Rfam family: Bacterial small subunit ribosomal RNA
Source: RNAcentral
UACGUAGGGUGCGAGCGUUAAUCGGAAUUACUGGGCGUAAAGCGUGCGCAGGCGGUUUUGUAAGCCAGAUGUGAAAGCCCCGGGCUUAACCUGGGAAUGGCAUUUGGGACUGCAAGGCUGGAGUGUGGCAGAGGAGACUGGAAUUCCUGGUGUAGCAGUGAAAUGCGUAGAUAUGCGGAGGAACACCGAUGGCGAAGGCAAUCCCCUGGGCCUGCACUGACGCUCAUGCACGAAAGCGUGGGGAGCAAACAGG